Long non-coding RNA from Oreochromis niloticus (Nile tilapia), 3560 nucleotides. RefSeq lists it as uncharacterized. NCBI's taxonomy places the organism in Eukaryota, Metazoa, Chordata, Actinopteri, Cichliformes, Cichlidae. The transcript has 2 exons. The record is from RefSeq and is a predicted model, not a curated record.
AGUCUACAAAAAUAUAUUUUUCCAUUUACCGGUGUUUCAACUAGCUUUAUUGUUUCCUGUACAUUUUCUUUGAUAGAAGAACUUAAAUGCAUAAAGGCCUAACAGUAUUUACCCUUAACAGGGCAAACACACUUUAACUCAAAACAUUUACUCUAGGUUUAAUCACAUCAAAACAAAACUGAUGACACACUGUCACAUUUAAUUUGCACCUAAAUAAAACAGCAAAUGAGUUUGAGAUCUGAAACCUUUUAUUGCACUUUAUUAAAUUUUUGUAAGGCCCUCAAACCUAUUAUUUAAUGUGUUCAAUUUUGAUGACAUUUAAAGACUGGCGGACACCCUUCUUAGAAAGUUGUCUAUGUAUCAUAGAAAAAUUUCUAAGAGACCUUAUCUCUUAAUCUAAUGGCAUGUUUAACAGCAACAGAAGAUUUGCAGUCCGAAAUGGAUACCAACCAUCUGGGAAAAUUUGCACUUACUGUUGCAAGAGAGCUGCUGCGAUGAAAAGGAAACACUGAUGACGUUAUGACUCCUCUCAAGAUAUCUGUUUUCAAAAUACCAGUGCUUAUAAAUAAUCAAAACAACACACUGAGGUAGAAUUUUGAAAAUAUGGACCGAUGCUUUUAAGGAAGGAAAAAAAAAAACUUUAAAGUGAUACAGUUAAAUCAUUACUAGACAAAACUGGCUAAGAGCUAUUAAUCUAUGGAAAAUCUGCACUCUGAAGAGAACAAUCUAAGCUGACAUUCUGUUAUGAAUCCAUGCAGCACCACCAUCUAGCUACAAAGCAUUUCUAUAAAGUUUUGUGCAGCUUAGAAUAAUUACAUAAACCCAUUCUCUUCUCCUCCCUCAAUUAUUUUUUAAUACAGCCUCUGCUUUUUCCCUGCUGUCUUUCUUAUAAAAAACACUUUUAAUUAGUUUCUAUUAUCAUCUCUAGGAGUCAUCUGUCCCUCCAUCCAUCUUUGACUAAAAAGCCUUGCUUGUUUCAGUCACAGAGACAUCCAUUCAUCCCCUCCUGUUUCUCUUAGUGAACAAGCACUGCUAAACUGACAGUAGAGGAGGCAAGGAGAGGAAAACCACAUAUACAAAUUAGAAAGAUGCCCUUGUGUUGCACCCUUUUUCUUCAUAAAUACUGCCAGUCCCUUUAUCCUCUGAUUAUCAUUGUAUUUCUGAAAACUGAGUAAAAUGGACGCAUUUGUUCUGGAUUCAGCUACUAACCAUUAAAGGUAAGUAUGAUGCAAUCCUAAUAUUCACAGAAGUGAAUUUUACUCCUGCCAAAUACAAAUCUUAAAUUCACUACCAGAAACCCACAGUUUGGUGUCCAUGUCAGCCGUUUGGCAAAAAGAAAGAAGAUUAUAAAAAUUUCAAUAAAUAACUUCUUAAAAGCUCAGCCUCAAUAUAAAAAGGGUUACUUAAAAACCUGAAUAUCACCAAAAUAUGAUGGAUGUAUAACUAUAUCCCCUAUUUGUAACCAGCUUGGACCUGUGUGGUGAGCCCCAAGUGGAUUCAGGCAGCAGGAGUUACAGAAACAAGACAAGUAAAUUACCGCAAGACGUCAUGUUUUUAGGGAUACGGUGUACCAUCCAUGGAAAUACACAAGCAGCUAUCUAGUUCAUUUACAUGUUAGGCCUUUAGCCAACACACUCACUCAAUGAUUUCCUUCAGAGCAAAAGAAAGGUUAAGAGCACACUGGUGAGUCAUCGUAAAUGUAAGUAGCCUAUUAAAACAAUAGAAUUAAAGUCUAAAGAUUAUCCAGAUACCACAGAUUCAUGAAAAAUCAAGCAAAAAAACAAAAUCAGCUAAACAAUAUUUAUAUUACACUGAGCAGCUCAAUACUAUUUCAGCUCAAUACUAAUUUCACAACACCCAUACUUUAUAAAGACGAUAGCAACUCAAAAUAACUUACUUGCCAACUCAGCAGUAAUACAGUUUAAUCACUUGUGCUCUAAAUGUGAGAAAAAUUUCUCCUAGUCUUGAGCAGAAGGCAUGCAAGAGUUGACAUGCAGCAAGUAUCAAAUUCACCAAAAUGCCCCAAAUAACCGAUCAUAAUUUAAGUAAGUAGAAGUAUGACAUUUGUAUUUUAUCAGCAUAGUAGUUAUGCAGACGGUCCCCUUUAUAGCUAACCGAACCAGGUUUGUAUUUCUUACCUAAAAAAAAUAACUGACGUUCUUGGUUUGUGGAUUAAAAAUGCUAUUUUGGUGUCUUCAGUACUCAAGCAACUGUCUUAGAGCAUGUGCUAGUGAACUAACUGAAUUAGAUCACUCUUUAUACCUAUAGGCUGCAGCAGUGGUCAGGCAAGAGCACAUGAUACCCUUCAUUAUGCAAGCCUGUGUUAUUACCAUCAGAAAUUAAUGUUCCCCUGGGGGAAGUAUACACAAGCCUGCUGGAUAAUCUAAUGUCAUGGAAGUCAUGUGUGUGAACUCCAGAAUCCAGAUUUCUCCCUGGAGCACAACUGUUGCAGCUCCCUUUCCUUUAUUAUCCCCUAGAAUGAGGUGUGAUUGCUAAUCACAGUGUACUUGGACACAUUUUUUUAUGUCGUCACCAGGCUGGAAUUUGAACGGGUGUGAAAUGAUGCCAGAACACAACUGCUUACUUUCACAAGUAUGCAAAAAGACUCACUGAAACUCAGAUACAUCUGGUGCGUGUACACCAAAGCGCGCACACGCGCGCGCACACACACACACACACACACACACACACACACACACACACACACAAACACACACACAAACAACUCUCUCAGCUGAAGUCACAGCUGUUUUACAGCGGGCAGAACCCAUUUUGUAUUAGCAGAAAAAGAAACCAUAAUCCCUGUUCACCAUGAACCAGCUUGUACCAAUCUACAAGGCUAGCCAACAUUGCUUUCAGCAGAGAUUAAAACUGUAUAUUUGGCAUAAUUGUUAAACCACAAAACUAAAUUAGAAGCUCAAAAAAAGGAACACUAACAACAUAGAUCUCAUGAAGCCCAAAAUUCACUUUAGUGCUCUGGUACCUGCCGGUGAUUUGACAAAAGCUGCGCAGCCAGCUAGGUUGCAGUAUUUGGAUUCCAAUUACUAUUUACAAACGAAAAAGGGGCUUCAGUUUUUAUCUCCACAUAGUUUCACAUAUAUGCAUGAUAGUUUACAGAUGAUGCCAGUGAACAUACUGGUGUGAUCUAGGUCACAUUGCUCUGAGGAGCACAGAGGACAGCUGAGUUUGGGAGCAGCUUACAUCAAAUGCCAGUGUGCCAAACACAAGGGAUGGAUGCAAAAGAGGCCCAGUAUCACUAUUGAGCACCUGCACCACAACAGCUGACAAUCUCAACAACAAAAUGAUCAACCUACGUUCAAAGUCGGAGUCAUCAUCUUCAUCAUCCUCUCCAUUGGACUCUGUUUGCAUCGGUUCGCCGUCAAACAUCACUCCUUUUCCCGUCUUGCCGCCUGUGCUGGCCCCAUCCUGACUUCUGGUGUCCCGUAAACGGGUAAAGUAUUGUACGGCAAAAUCCACCAGGUCUGACGGCCUUUGUCGGAGCACCUCCACAGUGUAGCCCUGCAGCAGUUCUGUCAACCCAACCGGUAUCUCAAUACUCA